This 406-nucleotide ribosomal RNA is filed under the name uncultured bacterium. RNAcentral's name for it is "partial 16S ribosomal RNA". It matches the Rfam family "Bacterial small subunit ribosomal RNA", at positions 29 to 526 of the family's 1533-position model. The record is from RNAcentral.
AUUGAACGCUGGCGGCAGGCUUAACACAUGCAAGUCGAGCGAGCGGCGGACGGGUGAGUAAUGUCUGGGACACUGCCUGAUGGAGGGGGAUAACUACUGGAAACGGUAGCUAAUACCGCAUACCAUCAGAUGGGCCCAGAUGGGAUUAGCUAGUAGGUGGGGUAAUGGCUAACCUAGGCGACGAACCCUAGCUGGUCUGAGAGGAUGACCAGCCAAACUGGAACUGAGACACGGUCCAGAAUCCUACGGGAGGCAGAAGUGGGGAAUAUUGCACAAUGGGCGCAAGCCUGAUGCAGCCAGGCGGCGUGUGUGAAGAAGGCCUGCGGGUUGUAAAGCACUUUCAGCGAGGAGGCGUUACUCGCAGAAGAAGCACCGGCUAACUCCGUGCCAGCAGCCGCGGUAAUUC